Molecule: ribosomal RNA, 520 nt
Filed under: uncultured Entrophospora
Lineage: Eukaryota; Fungi; Glomeromycota; Glomeromycetes; Entrophosporales; Entrophosporaceae
Description: SSU rRNA
Rfam family: Eukaryotic small subunit ribosomal RNA
Source: RNAcentral
AGCAGCCGCGGUAAUUCCAGCUCCAAUAGCGUAUAUUAAAGUCGUUGCAGUUAAAAAGCUCGUAGUUGAAUUUCGGGAUUGGCGCAUCGGUCGUGCCUCACGGGGUAUGAACUGGUGCAGUCAAUUUCUCACCUUCUGGAGAACCGCGAUGUCCUUAAUUGGGUGCCGCGGGGAACCAGGACCUUUACUUUGAAAAAUUAGAGUGUUUAAAGCAGGCAUUUUUGCUUGAAUACAUUAGCAUGGAAUAAUAAAAUAGGACGGCAUGGUUCUAUUUUGUUGGUUUCUAGGACCACCGUAAUGAUUAAUAGGGAUAGUUGGGGGCAUUAGUAUUCAAUUGUCAGAGGUGAAAUUCUUGGAUUUAUUGAAGACUAACUACUGCGAAAGCAUUUGCCAAGGAUGUUUUCAUUAAUCAAGAACGAAAGUUAGGGGAUCGAAGACGAUCAGAUACCGUCGUAGUCUUAACCAUAAACUAUGCCGACUAGGAAUCAGACGAUGUUAAUUUUUUAAUGACUCGUUUGGC